Molecule: long non-coding RNA, 763 nt
Filed under: Papio anubis (olive baboon)
Lineage: Eukaryota; Metazoa; Chordata; Mammalia; Primates; Cercopithecidae
Description: lncRNA (ENSPANG00000042108.1)
Source: RNAcentral
GGUGGGCCAGGAAGGCAACCAGCCAGAGAUCAAGAUUGCACCUGUCCCAAGACUGGAAGACUGGGUAUAAAAACAGAACAGUGGACACAACUCCAAGAGAAGGUUUUGACCAAAUGUCUUGAAUCAUAGAAGAUUUGACUGUAAACCUACUCCACAGUUUCUAUUCGGUGGAUGAUUUUGCUGAACUGAGCUAAGAUAGAAUUGGAUAUUGAAGAGCUAAAGUGUGUUGACUUUUAAAAAUUUUUUAUAAGCUCAACUUUGAUUUUAGAUUCAGGGGAUACAUGUGCAGGUUUGUUACAUGGCUGUAUUGCGUGAUGCUGAGGUUUGGCGUGUGAAGGAUCCUAUCAUCCAGAAUCCUCCAAACAACCUCAAUGAUCAGCCAAGUGGAGCUGGGGAAGUGGAGCUCUGCACCCAAGCUGAGCUCCAAGUGCCAAGAGCAAAUAGAAGAGCUGGGAAAAGAAGCAACUUGUCAGCUGUAUUUCUGCGAACUCUCGGUUCUCUGGCCUUCAGACUCCAGGACUUGCAGCAGUCACUCCCUGCCCCUCGCAGGUUCUCAGGGCUUUGGCCUUGGCCUGAGAGUUACCCCGUUGGCUUUCCUGGGACCCGACCUUGCAGGACACACAUUGCGGGACUUCUCAACCUCCACAGUCACGAAAAACCGAAGGAAGUUCGAGAACUCCAUUUUGCCUUAAGUAUUUUGGACAUUUGUGGUCCACAGCAGACUCCAGUGGAGAAGUUUUGCUUUCCCCACCACGACCAUUAA